AAGAUUCAAAUUUGUAGAGAGAUAAAGAGGGAGAAAAUAUAUUAUUUUCUUGUCGUCCAAAAUUCAAGAAUUAGUUUCUAAAUUAAUUAAAAAAAGGUGCCCACAUGCCGGUGUAGCAUUUUCGUUGGAGAAUACCAUAAAAGGCUUGAAAGUUUGAAGCACCAAGAUUCUUGCAAUUAAACGAGAGGAAGUUUGCGGAUCAGAGUCAAUUCAAGGUUGAUCAUUGAACUUAGGUGAAAUAUUUGAAUCCUUUAAUUUUGUUAUAACGUACACGUGAACAUCUAGACGAAUUUGUUUAUUGAAUUAAAGAAAAUUUUAAUUUCUAAUUAAUUCCUUUUUCGCAUUCCAACAAUAUGUAAAUAUCAUCAGACUUCCUUGCCAUAGAAAUAUGGACAAAUUGUGCAGGAGCAUAUAUAUUUUGCUUAGAAAUUUCAUAGAGUUGAUUCUUUUCAUAUUGUUCAUUUGUGGUCUUUUCCACUUAUCCUACAUCACUUGUGGGUAUUUUGGCAUCCAUCAGUUAUUAAUUUGUCACAAGAAUUUAAUUCCCUUAUAAAAAUCGUGUACUUAUUUAAUCAAUAACCUCAUCGUGUAUCUAACUUUCUGAAUACAAAGAUAUUCUUAGGGGACAAAACCUUAGAAUCUGUUAUAUAUUAUACCCUCCCUCAUUUGGUAUAUAUGUUCUUACGGUGCCAUAUUUGUUUAACAAAAACAUUGCUAUUUUACCUUAUUUUCCCUUCUUCUACAAAUUCCCUUCAUGAAAUUAACAGACCAGAGCUAAUUACAGUACAGAGAAAGAAAGCAGCAAAACGCAGAAGUAAAUAACUACAAGUAGGUGCUAAAGUCGUGAUUCUGUCUUUCUCAUAUUCAUGAAAGUAUUUAAAACCAAAAACAUGAAGAGGCGAAGUUACCAUGCUUCCAAAGAUGCUCAGCUGCAUAGCUCGUGCUGACAAAUUGUUUCCUUGUUGAUCAGUCUCUUCUACAGCAUGGGUUUGUUGGCUAGACUUGUAAAAAUGUUCAAGCCAACUCAGACCCACACGCUCUCUGGCAAGAGGUCCAGAUGGGUGAUCAGUGUUGGAAUAAUUCCAUAUGUAAGCUUCACAUUUGAUUGCAAAUUUUACGAGUUAGAUGUGAGACUCAUAAUGAUAAUUGUGUUUGGACCUAAUUUAUUAAGUGGUCAAUUGGGUCUUUUACACAUUACGGAUUGUAAUUAAUAUGAUAUGGUAAUUUUAAGUAUGU
This 1236-nucleotide long non-coding RNA is filed under the name Olea europaea subsp. europaea. Lineage: Eukaryota; Viridiplantae; Streptophyta; Magnoliopsida; Lamiales; Oleaceae. The record is from RNAcentral.